CCCUUAUUAGGAUGUAUUUGCAAAUUCAUUUUUUUCUAAAAGAAUGAAUCUUUUUCAUAAAAGAAAAUGACUAUUGGAUAAUUCUUUUAUGGUGCUCUACAUUUUGAUUGUGCUACAAUUAGUAAUUACAUUUUGCCAGGAAUUCAUUAUUAGCAGAAAGCUUUCGUUCUAUCUCUAUGUGUGGAGUAUCUAUCUAGACACUAAGGUCAAUACAGGAGAUGGACUCACUAUAGUUUAUGCAGCACGGAGGUAAUCGGUGUAGUUCAGAUGCAUGGUCUGUUUGAUAGUGAACUGCAGACAGCUCAUAUUAAUAGGUAUAUUAUUCGUGCGGAAGUGGCUGCAAGAAACAACAAUGUAACUUGAGAGAACUUCGUCAGAAAAAUCAUU
This is a long non-coding RNA of Lycium ferocissimum, 387 nucleotides long. RefSeq lists it as uncharacterized. The transcript has 3 exons. The record is from RefSeq and is a predicted model, not a curated record. Lineage: Eukaryota; Viridiplantae; Streptophyta; Magnoliopsida; Solanales; Solanaceae.